CUAAUAGAUAAAAAUAAUGAAAAAGGAAAGAAAAAAUUAUUUCUUAAAUAAAAAGCACUUAGUAC
Molecule: transfer RNA, 65 nt
Filed under: Bigelowiella natans
Lineage: Eukaryota; Cercozoa; Chlorarachniophyceae
Source: RNAcentral